Molecule: ribosomal RNA, 254 nt
Filed under: uncultured bacterium
Lineage: Bacteria
Description: partial 16S ribosomal RNA
Rfam family: Bacterial small subunit ribosomal RNA
Source: RNAcentral
GACGUAGGGAGCGAGCGUUGUCCGGAUUCAUUGGGCGUAAAGAGCGCGCAGGCGGUUUGGUAAGUCGGAUGUGAAAACCCGGGGCUCAACCCCGGGCGUGCAUCUCGAUACUGCCCGACUAGAGGUAGGUAGGGGAGAUCGGAAUUCCUGGUGUAGCGGUGAAAUGCGCAGAUAUCAGGAGGAACACCGGUGGCGAAGGCGGAUCUCUGGGCCUUACCCGACGCUCAGGCGCGAAAGCUAGGGGAGCGAACAGG